GAUGAACGCUGGCGGCGUGCCUAAUACAUGCAAGUCGAGCGAACAGAUGAUGAUCUUGCUGCUCUGACGUUAGCGGCGGGCGGGUGAGUAACACGUGGAUAACCUACCUAUAAGACUGGGAUAACUUCGGGAAACCGGAGCUAAUACCGGGUAAUAUAUUGAACCGCAUGGUUCAAUAGUGAAAGACGGUUUUGCUGUCACUUAUAGAUGGAUCCGCGCCGCAUUAGCUAGUUGGUAAGGUAACGGCUUACCAAGGCAACGAUGCGUAGCCGACCUGAGAGGGUGAUCGGCCACACUGGAACUGAGACACGGUCCAGACUCCUACGGGAGGCAGAAGUAGGGAAUCUUCCGCAAUGGGCGAAAGCCUGACGGAGCAACGCCGCGUGAGUGAUGAAGGUCUUCGGAUCGUAAGACUCUGUUAUUAGGGAAGAACAAAUGUGUAAGUAACUAUGCACGUCUUGACGGUACCUAAUCAGAAAGCCACGGCUAACUACGUG
RNAcentral lists this ribosomal RNA (497 nucleotides) under uncultured bacterium. RNAcentral's name for it is "partial 16S ribosomal RNA". It matches the Rfam family "Bacterial small subunit ribosomal RNA", at positions 28 to 507 of the family's 1533-position model. The record is from RNAcentral.